Molecule: long non-coding RNA, 858 nt
Organism: Harpia harpyja (harpy eagle)
Lineage: Eukaryota; Metazoa; Chordata; Aves; Accipitriformes; Accipitridae
Exons: 4
Source: RefSeq, a predicted model, not a curated record
UGCAGUGAGGUGCAUUGCACUGAUGUGUGCCAGUGGUGGAAUAUGAGGAAGGCAGUAAUAGGAUGGUUUUAUUAGGAAAAGUGCUGGAUGGUUUGUUACAAAGAAACACUCAACAUCAGCAGAAAUAACAAUGCUGAAACUGGAUAAGCUUUUCCAUUUAGGUUAACAGUACAAGUGCAUAGGACCAGAUCAUUCAUCCAGAAUAAGCUUGGAUAAAUACAGUGCUUACUACAAUCCCUACUGGACUGCAUUGGUAGCAUCUGACAAGUAUAUAAGGACCGAGCGUGCAAAAUCCAGGAGUGCAGUUGGCAUAAGUGGGGACUAAUACUGCAUUUUUUUAACAGUUUGUGGACCUCAGCAUGGAUCAGAGGAAGCAGCUCUGUCAGUCUGCCAAAAACCCAAUUUCCUGUAAAAGCACUUGAAGACCAUUUCAUUCCAAACAGCCUUUGGAACCGUUGAAGUUGUUGGACAAGGAGGAAUGCGGCUGGGCUGGACAUAGGGCAAAAGGAAGACAUCAUAUGACAGGAGUUCCACCUGAUUUUUUUUUUUUUUUUAAUUUACAGCUGCAAACAAGAAAAAGAGUGUAAAACAGCCCACCCAGAAGUUCCUAGUACAAGCUUUUCAUUAGAAUAUAGUGAUUUGUCAAAACUGAAGUAUUUCAUGAGCGUGUUAGUUUUCACAGAACUCUAGUCAAACACAGGCUGUUGAGAAACACCUUCUUCCCUCCAUUUUCCCCGCCAUGCUACUCAGGACAGUCAGUGAUUCAAAAUCGGUGUCUCUGGGCCAGAAAGCAGCCAAAUACACAAAACUCUCCCUGAAAGGGGAAGCCUGGGUCCAUCACCCUGUGACAGCUGGCAG